Molecule: long non-coding RNA, 447 nt
Filed under: Mytilus galloprovincialis (Mediterranean mussel)
Lineage: Eukaryota; Metazoa; Mollusca; Bivalvia; Mytilida; Mytilidae
Source: RNAcentral
GUUUGGUUUAAUUUGGCCCAGUAGUUUCAGAGGAGAAGAUUUUUGUAAAAGAUUACUAAGAUUUACGAAAAAUGGUUAAAAAUUGACUAUAAAGGGCAAUAACUCCUAAAGGGGUCAACUGACAAUUUCAGUCGUGUUGACUUAUUUGUAAAUCUUACUUUGCUGAACAUAAUGGCUGUUCACUGUUUAUCUCUAUCUAUAAUAUUAUUCAAGAUAAUAACCAAAAACAGCAAAAUUUCCUUAAAAUUACCAAUUCAGGGGCAGCAACCCUACAACGGGUUGUUCGAUUCAUCUGAAAUUUUCAAGGCAGAUAGAUCUUGACCUGAUUUACAAUUUAACUCCGUCAGAUUUGCUCUUAAUGCUUUGGUUUUUGAGUUAUAAGCCAAAAACUGCAUUUUACCCCUAUUAUCUAUUUUUAGCCAUGGCGGCCAUCUUGGUUGGUUGACC